GUCGUGAUGAAAAACUGUGAACCAUUGGUGUUGGGUCCUGCAUUGGCCAUAGAUAGUAUACCAGGUCCUGUGUGCUUCAGCUCGAAGUUUUCGUCCCUGUAAGAAGUACAUAGUGAAUUAGGUGGUAAACCUUUACAGUACAGAUCCAUUUACCGAAGUCUAAGUUAAAAAGAAGAAGAAGAAAAAAAAAAAUCUAUUCACAACAAGUUGCCAUGACUGGGUGUGCACGAGGGGGAAGCUGCCCCCCUAACAUCCCCCUGGGAACUUUAUCUUCACCUCAGUAAGUUUAACAAGACUGAGCUGAAACUCAAGAGCAUCGAGUCCAUGAAACUCAAGAGCAUCGAGUGGACUCAGGCUGUGAGCAGCGCUUUCUGCAAUCUUUUGUGCUAUACACACUAUUAUUUGUUAUAUGUUAUCAUUCGUGUCUGCAGAAAACUACUUGUACCGAUGACUUUUUAUCUUCUAAGAGAAUAUCAUCAAUUUGCCCUAGUUUAGUGCCUCCAUACUGUAAAGAUUAAUUUUUUAAAAAUAUUCAGGCAAAUCAGAAAAAAAUAAAUAAAAAAUAGCACAUUGAUGCAUCACUUUAAGAAAAUAAAUAAUUGUAUUUCCAUGUACAAAAAAACAAAUAUUGCAACAAGAAAAUACUAAUUUCACUGUAAAAAAAUAUAUUAUUGAACUUUAAAACAUUCAAAACUUCUUGAUAUUGUUGUUGAUCAAGUUUUGUGACAUUCUCACAUUCUGGAGAUGCCCAUGAACUUAUAAAUACCCAAAAAUACAUGAAUCAUAGGCAAUAAGUAAUGUACAUAAUGUGAGACUCAUUCAUUACCAGUCUUCUACUCACUCCCAGAAAGACAAACAGCGAUCAAUAUGGAUAACAGGGUAAUGACUUGCUUUUGAAACAUUUUGAUGUUUGUUUGUUUUUAAUGAAAUCCACUGAUUUCAAUUAUUUUGAGCAUUGUUCCUUGUGUAAAUAAAUAGUUGAGAAUAUGCAAGUACAAUUUUCAUCAACAAUUUUGAUUUCAUAGUCCUGAUAGCACUGGCGGGCAUGAAGUAUAUCAGGGAAAUUAUGUGUUAAAACUGGUUGAAAUAGAAUUAACAUAAAACAUAAAUGAGUAAAAAAAAAAAAAAAAAAAAAAAA
Molecule: non-coding RNA, 1138 nt
Organism: Penaeus vannamei (Pacific white shrimp)
Lineage: Eukaryota; Metazoa; Arthropoda; Malacostraca; Decapoda; Penaeidae
Source: RefSeq, a predicted model, not a curated record